RNAcentral lists this ribosomal RNA (254 nucleotides) under uncultured bacterium. RNAcentral describes it as "partial 16S ribosomal RNA". It matches the Rfam family "Bacterial small subunit ribosomal RNA", at positions 524 to 776 of the family's 1533-position model. The record is from RNAcentral.
UACGAAGGGGGGCUAGCGUUGCUCGGAAUUACUGGGCGUAAAGCGCACGUAGGCGGAUCUUUAAGUCAGGGGUGAAAUCCUGGAGCUCAACUCCAGAACUGCCUUUGAUACUGAGGACCUUGAGUUCGGGAGAGGGAAGCGGAAUUCCGGGUGUAGCGGUGAAAUGCGUAGAUAUCCGGAGGAACACCGGUGGCGAAGGCGGCUUCCUGGACCGACACUGACGCUGAGGCGCGAAAGCUAGGGGAGCAAACGGG